UGCGGGAUGGUGUAAUUGGCAACACGCCAGGUUCUGGCCCUGGUAUUCAAGGUUCGAGUCCUUGUCCCGCAG
This 72-nucleotide transfer RNA is filed under the name Solirubrobacteraceae bacterium. Its description in RNAcentral is "tRNA-Gln". It matches the Rfam family "tRNA". From Rfam's summary of the family: Transfer RNA (tRNA) molecules are approximately 80 nucleotides in length. Their secondary structure includes four short double-helical elements and three loops (D, anti-codon, and T loops). RNAcentral also lists the same sequence under 2 other names. Lineage: Bacteria; Bacillati; Actinomycetota; Thermoleophilia; Solirubrobacterales; Solirubrobacteraceae. The record is from RNAcentral.